RNAcentral lists this ribosomal RNA (236 nucleotides) under uncultured bacterium. RNAcentral describes it as "partial 16S ribosomal RNA". It matches the Rfam family "Bacterial small subunit ribosomal RNA", at positions 15 to 248 of the family's 1533-position model. The record is from RNAcentral.
GAUCAUGGCUCAGGAUGAACGCUGGCGGCGUGCUUAACACAUUCAAGUCGAACGGAGAACGGGGAGCUUGCUCCCCGGGAUCAGUGGCGGACGGGUGAGUAACGCGNGAGCAACCUGCCUGUGUGUGGGGGAUAACACCCGGAAACGGGUGCUAAUACCGCAUAACGCAACGGAGCCGCAUGACUUUGUUGCCAAGGAUAUAUUGCGCACAGAUGGGCUCGCGUCUGAUUAGAUAG